Haliotis rufescens (red abalone) is the source of this 779-nucleotide long non-coding RNA. RefSeq lists it as uncharacterized. The record is from RefSeq and is a predicted model, not a curated record. NCBI's taxonomy places the organism in Eukaryota, Metazoa, Mollusca, Gastropoda, Lepetellida, Haliotidae. The transcript is spliced from 3 exons.
AAGUAGUCCCAUAAAGGUCAGGGUUCACAAUCUUCCAAUCAAAUACCAAGAAUAACUGACGUCAUGUGCACCCGAUGUGUUUUCCCCAAGGGAUAAUUUAAUUUGAUAUCCACUCAGCAUACAGAAAUAUUUCCAUGUCAUUGAAUAUGGCGCUGACUUUGAUCUGUUUACUGUGAACUGUACAGCUCAUUGAUUACGACAUCACUCCGGGCUUUCACCACACGUCAUGAUAUAACUCGUAUAACGACGUGACAGAGGGCUGCACAAACCAUUAUUUCACCUUGUAUUUAUGUAUCAAUCUGUUGUGUGAUGUGAACAUUAUGACAGAAUAACUUUGAACAUGGCGAUAUCAUGUGACCACGGCACGUGACACGACAAGCCAAUCAGGACCGACUGUGGUGCAUGGGUCGUCCGUGCAGCGUGUGCAUUCCGUCCUGUGUUUUCGAGCAGCCUUCCUUGUUGAGACUUACAUUUGGUGGCAGCGGAGAAUAAUAUUUGAAGAUACACCAAAUGAAAAUCCACUGUUAUACUGCGCUUGGAGGCACAGGUGACCCAGUCCUCAAAGACGCCCAAUUCCCUGUACAUUGUUGCGUCCCUUGAACACGCCAGAAACCUUUGAACCUGAUGGCGGCAAGGGGGCGUCCUUUGAGCAAGCCAGAACUGGAAUACUGUUCAAAGCAGCGUUAAACGCACCUCGCUCACAUCCUGACUUGGUCAACACAGACAUUGAGCAGAAUAUCCCAAUUGUGUAUUUGAGCAGAAAUAAAUGUGUAUCAACC